ACGGGAGGCAGCAGUGGGGAAUUUUGCGCAAUGGGGGGAACCCUGACGCAGCAACGCCGCGUGCGGGAUGGAGGCCUUCGGGCUGUAAACCGCUUUCAGCAGGGAAGACAACGACGGUACCUGCAGAAGAAGCUCCGGCUAACUACGUGCCAGCAGCCGCGGUAAUACGUAGGGGGCGAGCGUUAUCCGGAUUCAUUGGGCGUAAAGCGCGCGUAGGCGGCUGCCUAAGCGGAGUUUCUAACCUUGGGGCUCAACCUCAAGCCGGACUCCGAACUGGGCGGCUCGAGUGCGGUAGGGGCAGGCGGAAUUCCACGUGUAGCGGUGAAAUGCGUAGAUAUUAGGAAGAACACCAGUGGCGAAGGCGAUCUACUGGACGAUAACUGACGCUGAGGCGCGAAAGCGUGGGGAGCAAACAGGAUUAGAUACCUGGUA
Molecule: ribosomal RNA, 432 nt
Filed under: uncultured Adlercreutzia sp.
Lineage: Bacteria; Bacillati; Actinomycetota; Coriobacteriia; Eggerthellales; Eggerthellaceae
Description: partial 16S ribosomal RNA
Rfam family: Bacterial small subunit ribosomal RNA
Source: RNAcentral